RNAcentral lists this ribosomal RNA (549 nucleotides) under Triticum aestivum (bread wheat). RNAcentral's name for it is "partial small subunit ribosomal RNA". Lineage: Eukaryota; Viridiplantae; Streptophyta; Magnoliopsida; Poales; Poaceae. The record is from RNAcentral.
AUGCACCGCACACCCUUCCCGCGCGCGUCGCCGUACCGAGCGGAGAGCGCGCUCGAGCUAGUGCACGGUGACCUGUGCGGCCCGAUCACUUCGGCGACGGCCAGCGGUAACAAGUACUUCCUGUUGAUAGUUGAUGAUUUCAGCAGAUACAUGUGGCUUGAGGUACUGAAAACCAAGGAUGAAGCGUUCCGCUACUUCAAGAAGAUCAAGGCACACGCGGAGAUGCAGGGAAAUGCCAGGCUCCGGGCGUUCCGCACAGACAGAGGAGGCGAGUUCACCUCAAACGAAUUCGCCGCCUACUGUGAAGAACUGGGGAUCCAGAGGAACACGACGACGCCAUGGCGCGCAGCCUCAUGGAGGCCAUGGGCGUGCCGUGCGUGUUCUGGGGCGAGGCUGUGCGCACCGCCGUCCACAUCCUCAACCGGUCGCCGACCAGAAGCUUGCAGGGCAUUACCCCUUAUGAAGCGUGGCGCAAGAAGAAGCCGGCGGUGGACUACUUCCGCACCUUCGGCUGUGUCGCGCAUGUCAAGCUCGUCGGACCAGGGGUGA